This 494-nucleotide ribosomal RNA is filed under the name uncultured bacterium. RNAcentral's name for it is "partial 16S ribosomal RNA". It matches the Rfam family "Bacterial small subunit ribosomal RNA", at positions 28 to 523 of the family's 1533-position model. The record is from RNAcentral.
GACGAACGCUGGCGGCGCGCCUAACACAUGCAAGUCGAGCGAUGAACAUUGAAUGAUCCCUUCGGGGUGAUUUCGAUCGGAUUAGCGGCGAACGGGUGAGUAACGCGUGAGGAACCUGCCUCUUACAAAGGGAUAGCCUCGGGAAACCGGGAUUAAUACCGUAUAAGACUCCGACAUCUCCUGAUGAUGAAGGCAAAGCGUUAGCGGUAAGCGAUGGCCUAGCGUCUGAUUAGCUGGUUGGCGGGGGAACGGCCCACCAAGGCGACGGUCAGUAACCGUCCUGAGAGGGUGAACCGUCACAUUGGACCUGAGACACGGUCCAACCUCCUACGGGAGGCAGCGGUGAGGAAUCUUGCACAAUGGGGGCAACCUUGAUGCAGCGACGCCGCGUGAGCGAUGAAGGUUUUCGAAGCGUAAAGCUCUGUCCUAUGAGAAGAUAAUGACGGUACCAUGGGAGGAAGCCCCGGCUAACUACGUGCCAGCCGCCGCAGUAA